AUCACUUCUCCCUCGCCGGCGACGACUCCAAGUCCGGUGAACCCAGGUCCGAUGAACACCGUUUCUAGACCUGAUAUCUUUCUCUCCCAUUCUCUUCUGUAAACUUAAUUAUAAAAUCCACCUAUUAGAACCUUUGUCGGUUCGUACCUCUAAAUUCGUCGUAGUUUUGUAUCUCUAAAGUCGUCGUCGGAGUUUUGCACCUCGAAACCCGACAUCGAACCUGCACCUCAAGUCAUAUUCGGAUCAGAAGGGUUAUUUGAUUUUCAGGUAUGAUGUUAGAUUAUGUUUUGAGGUUAGAUGCUUUUGUGUGUGAGCCCUAGCUUCUCCGCUUCCUCUUCUCGUCAGAAUUGUUAGCAACAGCCACCAACGUUUAUUCUGCUUCGCAUCUACCCCAACUCUGCAAAUCAAAGUGCCUUUGUGUGUUUACAUCCCUAACUCUGUAGAUUGAUCCUAGGUUUGAUUUGGAUUUCUGAAAUUCGAAAUAAGGACACAACUGCUUCGAUUUUCAUCUCUUGAACUCAAGUUGGUGUUUGAUUGGUUUUGUUCUUGAUUAUGGAGUUUGGUUUGAUUUUCAAAAUUUGAAUAAGAAAACAAAAUUGGUUUUGAUAUCGAUUUCACUAUCUGGAACUCAUAUUUGUCGUUUAAUGUUUGAUUUUGGUGGUUUGGUUUGUUUAUGAUUUUGGUAUCUGGUUGUUUCUAGAACUCGAAAUACGUAUACAUGUGGUGGGUUCCGAAGGUGAAGGCUGGUGGUUGUUAGGCUUGACGGUAUGUGUGCGGUCCGAGACCGCACUUCGUGCCACAUGGACACGGAACACCGCCCCCAGACCGCGGUCUGGUGCGGUCUCGGCCGCAGUGCGGCUUGUGACUACCGUGCAAUUUGAUUGGUCCUUGAUCUUUGAUUGGUUCUGACCGUUGAAUGGUC
RNAcentral lists this long non-coding RNA (922 nucleotides) under Lactuca sativa (garden lettuce). RNAcentral's name for it is "long non-coding RNA (LSAT_LNC005999)". The record is from RNAcentral. Lineage: Eukaryota; Viridiplantae; Streptophyta; Magnoliopsida; Asterales; Asteraceae.